AAUGCAAAUAUUGAAUCAUUGGCUCCAUAGAGAAUAGCAACAGUGAGAAAGAAAGAGAGAGAGAGGGGAGAAAAAAGAGAAGAUAAAUUCCCCUUAUGAAUGACAGAGACAACAAUUAAACAGAGAGAGAGAGAGAGAGAGAGAGAGAGAGAGAGAGAGAGAGAGAGAGAGAGAAUGUGGGACAGGUUUGAAAAAGAGGAACAAGAGAGAAGAAUAUCGAAUAGAGUGAGAUGGAGUAGAAGCAGUACGAGAGAGAGAGAGAGAGAAAUUCUGUGUUCUGAAACAAACGUUCGAUCAGAGUGCCGAUUGUUGCCAAUCAUACGUUGCCGCGGCAUGCCCCUCUGUCCGCGGCUUCAGUUCUGUGUUUUUCCGCGGUGAAGCAACGACGUAUCGUAAAACCUCUCUUCUUGUCUAAAUCCGCAAGGCUUCUUGAAACAACCCUUUUUACGAAGAAAAAAAAAAAAAAAAAAAAAAAAAUCAAAACUGAUUCAUGAUCCAUCUAUGUGAGGGUUGAUGAUACAUCGACUAGUAUUUAGUGUGCGUGUGUUCAGGUCGGUGCGUGUGUUUUUGUGGAAAAUGUCGACGCUGCCGGUGGCAUUCAAUGAUUGAUGACGACGGCGCGCUAGACGCAGAGUGCGCGUGAGGCUCUAACACGCGAGCCCGCAGGGCCUGUGUCGUUGCGCUUGUUCUAUCCCAAAUGUAUGUGUGGCACCAACAAUCAUCAGCGUCAUCAUCUAUACUGUCGAUGAGUUGCUAAUUUCAAAGAAGAGUAAGAUUACUAGAUCUAUGAUCCAAAAUUGAUUCGCGAUGGGUCAUUAAAAUUUUCAUGCAUAAUCAGUGAAGAAAGAACAGGCAAUAGAUGAUCCACAACCAAAUAUAAUAGAUAUUAAAUAACAUUAAAUAAUUGAUCGAAAAUCAAAUUAUGAAAAUUAUGAAUUAUAAACUGAGAAAAAUAUGCUAUUGAAUCAACAGAAUUUAUGCCAAAGUUUACAGAUUAUGAAUACCAUUUUAAAGAGCAAUGGCAUAAAUUAAAAAUAGAAUUUUUAUUUCUUUUGCCUCAAUUUCAAUUAUGUCAUAUUGGAUGUACCGGAUAUCAACUUGAGUAUUCGGUGAAUGGUUGAUGACUGUGAAACACAUGGGUACCAGACGACUUAUACUAUAAAGCGACAUCUGCAUCAAGCUUUGACUUUGAAGCCCCUCAUUAUCCUAAUGUACGUCCUGAUUUCACCAUCAGCCUUCCAUAUAUAUAUAUAUUAUAUACUAUAAUUAUUUCCUCUAAUCCUUUACUUCCCCCUCACAACUAACUUUUUUUAUCAUUCAUAUUUAACCUCAGCCUGAGAAACAAUAUCGUUCAAAAAAUUAAUUGUACACCUAUUUGUCUAAACUUAAUAAAAAAAUUUAUCUUUC
Molecule: long non-coding RNA, 1407 nt
Organism: Leptopilina boulardi
Lineage: Eukaryota; Metazoa; Arthropoda; Insecta; Hymenoptera; Figitidae
Exons: 3
Source: RefSeq, a predicted model, not a curated record